RNAcentral lists this ribosomal RNA (253 nucleotides) under uncultured bacterium. RNAcentral describes it as "partial 16S ribosomal RNA". It matches the Rfam family "Bacterial small subunit ribosomal RNA", at positions 524 to 776 of the family's 1533-position model. The record is from RNAcentral.
UACGUAGGGUGCAAGCGUUGUCCGGAAUUAUUGGGCGUAAAGAGCUCGUAGGCGGUCUGUCGCGUCGGCUGUGAAAUCCCGAGGCUCAACCUCGGGUCUGCAGUCGAUACGGGCAGGCUAGAGUUCGGUAGGGGAGACUGGAAUUCCUGGUGUAGCGGUGAAAUGCGCAGAUAUCAGGAGGAACACCGGUGGCGAAGGCGGGUCUCUGGACCGCGACUGACGCUGAGACACGAAAGCGUGGGUAGCAAACAGG